Molecule: non-coding RNA, 95 nt
Filed under: Desulforamulus ferrireducens
Lineage: Bacteria; Bacillati; Bacillota; Clostridia; Eubacteriales; Peptococcaceae
Description: Desulfotomaculum ferrireducens Glycine sequence
Rfam family: Glycine riboswitch aptamer
About the family: This family represents the bacterial glycine riboswitch. Glycine riboswitches usually consist of two metabolite-binding aptamers domains with similar structures in tandem. The aptamers cooperatively bind glycine to regulate the expression of downstream genes.
Source: Rfam by way of RNAcentral
GGACAGGACUCUGGAGAGACCCUUUUUUGGGCGCCGAAGGGGCAAUGACAAAAUCUUGUCUUAAAUCUCUCAGGCAAAAGGACAGAGAAGCAAUA